AUUGAACGCUGGCGGCAUGCCUUACACAUGCAAGUCGAACGGCAGCACGGGUGCUUGCACCUGGUGGCGAGUGGCGAACGGGUGAGUAAUACAUCGGAACAUGUCCUGUAGUGGGGGAUAGCCCGGCGAAAGCCGGGUUAAUACCGCAUACGAUCUACGGAUGAAAGCGGGGGACCUUCGGGCCUCGCGCUAUGGGGUUGGCCGAUGGCUGAUUAGCUAGUUGGUGGGGUAAAGGCCUACCAAGGCGACGAUCAGUAGCUGGUCUGAGAGGACGACCAGCCACACUGGGACUGAGACACGGCCCAGACUCCUACGGGAGGCAGCAGUGGGGAAUUUUGGACAAUGGGCGAAAGCCUGAUCCAGCAAUGCCGCGUGUGUGAAGAAGGCCUUCGGGUUGUAAAGCACUUUUGUCCGGAAAGAAAUCCUUGGCCCUAAUACGGUCGGGGGAUGACGGUACCGGAAGAAUAAGCACCGGCUAACUACGUG
RNAcentral lists this ribosomal RNA (486 nucleotides) under uncultured bacterium. Its description in RNAcentral is "partial 16S ribosomal RNA". It matches the Rfam family "Bacterial small subunit ribosomal RNA", at positions 30 to 507 of the family's 1533-position model. The record is from RNAcentral.